Molecule: ribosomal RNA, 549 nt
Filed under: uncultured bacterium
Lineage: Bacteria
Description: bacterial SSU rRNA
Rfam family: Bacterial small subunit ribosomal RNA
Source: RNAcentral
GGAAUCCAUCGGAAUUUGCCCAGUCGUGGGGGAUACGGUAGGGGAAACUUACGCUAAUACCGAUACGACCGAGAGGUGAAAGCGGGGGAUCUUCGGACCUCGCGCGAGUGGAUGAGCCGAUUCGGAUUAGCUAGUUGGGGGUAAGGCCCACCAAGGGACGAUCCGUAGCUGGUCUGAGAGGAUGAUCAGCCACACUGGGACUGAGACACGGCCCAGACUCCUACGGGAGGCAGCAGUGGGGAAUCAUUGGACAAUGGGGGCAACCCUGAUCCAGCAAUGCCGCGUGUGUUGAAGAAGGCCUUCGGGUUGUAAAGCACUUUUAUCCGGAACGAAACGCGCCAGGUGAAUAGCUUGGCGAACUGACGGUACCGGAGGAAUAAGCACCGGCUAACUUCGUGCCAGCAGCCGCGGUAAUACGAAGGGUGCAAGCGUUACUCGGAAUUACUGGGCGUAAAGGGUGCGUAGGUGGUUCUUUAAGUCUGCUGUGAAAGCCCCGGGCUCAACCUGGGAAUGGCAGUGGAUACUGGGGAGCUAGAGUGCGGUAAGGGU